AUUAAAAUAUAUUUAGAAAUUAAUUAUAAGCAUCUCCGGUUAAAUCAAAACAUUAUUAGAUUUAGUAAAGGUGAUUAAAAAUUAUUAUAUAUAUAAUCAAAGUACUGUAAAGGAAUUAUGACAAUUAUAGUAAAGAAAAAAUUAAAUUUUGUACCUUUUGUAUCAUGGUUUAGCUAGAUUAUAUUGUUUAUACAAUUUCUCGAAAUUUAAUGAGCUAUUUUUAACCUUUAUAUUAGUAUUUAAAGAGUAAUUGUAGCAAAAAUUUUCUUAGAGUUAAAAAUAGAAAUGAAAUUUUAUUCGCAUUAAAUGAUAGCUAGUUCUUCUGAAAGGCAUAGAAGUGCUUUAAACUAAGUUUCUUUGAAUAUUAUUAUACGGACAAAAUUUAGUUUAGUUAAAUUCUCGAGGAUAAGCUCGAGAAUUAUAAAAAUUAUUACAUUUUAUUUAAAAUUAAAUCUAAGCUUGAAAAUAGCUAAUAUUUAUUAGAUUUUGUUAUAAUUUCAUUAUUUUAUUAAAAAUAUGAUUAAUUUGUUUGACAUUAAAAGAAGAAGCCUCAAAAAUUAUUAAUGAGGGAUAUUUAUGCUAAAAUGAGUAUUCUUUAAAAUUUGGUUACUUAGGAUAAAAAUAGUACUAAAAUCUAAUUUGCUAAGUGUUUUCAAAAUUAUAAAAAGGAACUCGGCAAAAUAAUAUUCUGCCUGUUUAUUAAAAACAUGGCUCCUUGUAUAAUAAAAAUAAGGAGUCGGACCUGCCCAGUGAAAUUUUCAACGGCCGCGGUACUCUGACCGUGCAAAGGUAGCAUAAUCAUUUGCCUUAUAAUUGAAGGCUAGUAUGAAUGGUUUGACAAGAAUAUUACUGUCUCUUUAUAAUUGAUUAGAAUUUUAUUUUAAGGUGAAGAAGCCUUAAUAAAAUUAAUAGACAAGAAGACCCUAUCGAGCUUAAAAGAACUUAAUGGAUUUUAUUAUAAUAUUAAAUAAAAAAUUAACUAUUAAAAAUUUUGGUUGGGGCGACUAAGGAACAUAAAAAGCUUCCUUUAAAUUAAAUUAUACACACAAGUUUUAGAUCCAAAAUUUUUGAUUAAAGGAAUUAGUUACCGUAGGGAUAACAGCAUUAUCUUUUUUGAGAGUUCUUAUCGAAAAAAAGGUUUGUGACCUCGAUGUUGGACCAGAAUAUCCUAAAGAUGCAGAAGUCUUUAAGGGUUGGUCUGUUCGACCAUUAAAAUUCUACGUGAUCUGAGUUUAGACCGGCGUGAGCCAGGUCAGUUUCUAUCUUUAAUUUUUUAGAUAGGCUUAGUACGAAAGGACCAGUUUAUUAUAAAUCUAUAUUAUAAAAGAAAAAAUAUAAUAGAAAUUUAAAUAACAAAGA
RNAcentral lists this ribosomal RNA (1359 nucleotides) under Leucosyrinx sp. MNHN IM 2013-19304. RNAcentral describes it as "16S ribosomal RNA". The stretch from base 605 to 1359 matches the Rfam family "Archaeal large subunit ribosomal RNA", at positions 1423 to 2886 of the family's 2987-position model. Lineage: Eukaryota; Metazoa; Mollusca; Gastropoda; Neogastropoda; Turridae. The record is from RNAcentral.